UAUGGAGGAUCCGAGCGUUAUCCGGAUUUAUUGGGUUUAAAGGGAGCGUAGGCGGGUUGUUAAGUCAGUUGUGAAAGUUUGCGGCUCAACCGUAAAAUUGCAGUUGAUACUGGCAUCCUUGAGUACAGUAGAGGUAGGCGGAAUUCGUGGUGUAGCGGUGAAAUGCUUAGAUAUCACGAAGAACUCCGAUUGCGAAGGCAGCCUGCUGGACUGUAACUGACGCUGAUGCUCGAAAGUGUGGGUAUCAAACAGG
RNAcentral lists this ribosomal RNA (253 nucleotides) under uncultured bacterium. RNAcentral's name for it is "partial 16S ribosomal RNA". It matches the Rfam family "Bacterial small subunit ribosomal RNA", at positions 524 to 776 of the family's 1533-position model. The record is from RNAcentral.